Molecule: ribosomal RNA, 113 nt
Filed under: Flavobacteriales bacterium
Lineage: Bacteria; Pseudomonadati; Bacteroidota; Flavobacteriia; Flavobacteriales
Also listed under: 1 other name
Source: RNAcentral
UAUGGUGGUUAUAGCAAGGGUGUCCACCUCUUCCCAUUCCGAACAGAGAAGUUAAGCCCCUUAGCGCAGAUGGUACUGGAUCUAAAGUCCGGGAGAGUAUGUCGCCGCCGAUU